ACUAUAAUAUGGUGGACUGUACCUCCUCAUAAUAUUGCCUAUAAAACAAUCAUAAUCCAUGUAAAUAUAAUCAAUGCACAUUUUUUACUAACAAAUCGAAAUUCGUCAUCUCCCUCUACUUUUUCAAGCAAUGCAUGCAUACUACCGCAUAACAUAAAAACAUUUUCUUUACCCGGAUGAUCAAAAUUUUUCAUGCCAAUUCAAUUACGCAAUUUUAUUUAGAGAGAGAGAGAGAGA
This 237-nucleotide unclassified non-coding RNA is filed under the name Hevea brasiliensis (rubber tree). The record is from RNAcentral. Lineage: Eukaryota; Viridiplantae; Streptophyta; Magnoliopsida; Malpighiales; Euphorbiaceae.